RNAcentral lists this long non-coding RNA (1487 nucleotides) under Sorghum bicolor (sorghum). RNAcentral describes it as "long non-coding RNA (SBIC_LNC010377)". Lineage: Eukaryota; Viridiplantae; Streptophyta; Magnoliopsida; Poales; Poaceae. The record is from RNAcentral.
CCCCAUACUUAGGCUUUUACUCGUCCUCGAGAAAAGGAUGGUUAGGAACAAUAUCUGGGGUAAACAUUUAAAACAUUCUCUUUAUAAUUGUAGGGUGUUAAAAAUUCCACUGUGUACCAUAGUCAGGGAAGUUUAUGGUUAAGAGUAAAGAUCCUUUCUUCUCAAUCCUGUCACUUGGAGUUUUUGUAUAUUUUUGAAAGAAAGUUAGCAUACCUUUUGAUCCUCAUAGGUUCUCUCAGAUCUCUCAUUAUCUUUUAUAUAUAUAUCUCACUGAGGCUGUUUUAUUUUUGCAAAAAUUCUCAAGCAUACUUUCUUUGCAUUUAUUGCCUGAUCAAAACGGGAUCCGAGGAGGGGAAUGUCAUACUCUUAGAUCAAACACUUUGGAAAUUAAAAAUCUUUGUCAACUCUUACUGGCAUAUUGCUUAUUAGAGGGACCAUGGGCUAUCAUUUUUUUCUCUUUUCUCUUCUUUUUUUUAAGUGGAUAUCGAGGUACCCCUAAUUCUACUGCCGGACACUUGUCCAUUUUUUCUGCGAGGUUGUCGAGCACUUGCUCCUUUUUAUUUCCUCGAAAUAUCUCUAUUUUUUCAUAGCCCAUGCCUCUAAUGCAAUAAUACUUCGGAAGAGUGAAUCUUACUGAAAUAAUGUCUUGAUCUUGGGAGCAUGAUAAAUCUCUCAACAAGGGUCUAACUCAUUUUGAACAAACUCAAUACAGAGCAGAUAGCUUUUAUAAUCAUAUUUAAUAUUUUCAGUUUUAUCAGGCAUAUAAAACACUGAGGAUGGUAGCUAGAAUUUCGAAUAUUUUGAAAUAAAUUCUCCAAGCAACAAUGAUAUCAAGAAUAAGAAACUCAUACUCUACCAUCACAUAUUCCAUAUUGACUUAAGUAACACAGGGUUUUAAAAUGAUUUUUAUAACAAUUGCAAGUUUUCAGGAAAUAUCACAGAUUGAGAUUAAUCAUGAUUAUAAUUAUUUUAAUCUUUUUAUUUUAUCAUGUCGGAAACAGUAUUCUACAUAAUCCAAAAUAAAUGUAUGUGUAAAGUAAAGUGUGCAGAGUGUGUACCUGUGUGGUGGAGUGGUGUGUUUGGCAUGUCAAGGGAUCUCCCCCAUACUUGUUUUCUGCUUUCUUACAAAAAUAAAGUAGAGACACACAAGACAUAAUAAUAAUAAUAGUACUCUUUAUUGAUCUUGAGGCAUUUAUUACAAAAGACUAAUAGCAAACUGAUAACAAACUGAUGAUAAUAGCAACUGAUGAUAAUAGCAAACUUAAACCGAAUUUAAAGAUAGAUGACUAAGAUGUAUUGCCUCAAGGUCUAAUCUAGAUAACUUAGCGGCGUUCUAAUUCCUUAAUCUUCUUGUUGGCACUGGCAAGAUCCUGCCUAAGGCCUAGUAUAAUGUUGUGGUUAGAGAGCUGUCUAGUGAGGGAGUUGAUCGAGGACUGGAGAUCUAUGAUAAUUCUAUCUAGCCUGCGAACUUCCUCAUCAAUAUCCAU